GAAAAAUACUGCAGUGAGCAAAAUAGAGAGCCAGGAGAUGCCGAUGGUGACAAUUUUUUUUAUUUUUGAAGAGCAACAAAUUAUGUCUUCUCUUAUUGUCUUAUUAAAAGAUCAAAACAUCAGGAUUCCUUUCUUUGGCCUUCCAAUUUGUGAUUUUAACAGUACAAUAUUUAAGUCUUGAUUUUCAGUUACCUGGGUGGUAACAAUUGCAACAAAUUAAUACAACAAAAGAAUUUGAUUUAUUCCAGCUUUCCAUAGCAACACCAGCAGGAUGACUGAUAUAUCAUUCCAAAUUUCCAGUCAGUAUCAUCGCACUGGGGACUUUGAAUAAUUUUAUUUAAUUUUUAUUUUUACAACUCACACUUAUGGCACAGAGUUGGGCAGUGGGAACUGAAACAAUGUCAUUCUUAGUCUCCUGGGUGGUAACAAAAAGCCAACAGCAGAUCUCUCCUUUCUAUAAGGUCAACGUCUGUUUUACAAGUUCAUCAUUGGAGGGGACACAAUUGCAAGGCGGCCGCCGACGCUGAGCAACCCAGGACGUCUGGCAUUAGAGACUUCUAAUGACUAAAAAUGACUAUUUUUUAAUUUUUUCAUAAUAUGUAAAUAAAUUAAUAUCAAAUUAUA
Molecule: non-coding RNA, 624 nt
Organism: Bemisia tabaci
Lineage: Eukaryota; Metazoa; Arthropoda; Insecta; Hemiptera; Aleyrodidae
Source: RefSeq, a predicted model, not a curated record